This 325-nucleotide ribosomal RNA is filed under the name Serratia marcescens. Its description in RNAcentral is "bacterial SSU rRNA". It matches the Rfam family "Bacterial small subunit ribosomal RNA", at positions 1206 to 1530 of the family's 1533-position model. Lineage: Bacteria; Pseudomonadati; Pseudomonadota; Gammaproteobacteria; Enterobacterales; Yersiniaceae. The record is from RNAcentral.
GAGUAGGGCUACACACGUGCUACAAUGGCGUAUACAAAGAGAAGCGACCUCGCGAGAGCAAGCGGACCUCAUAAAGUACGUCGUAGUCCGGAUUGGAGUCUGCAACUCGACUCCAUGAAGUCGGAAUCGCUAGUAAUCGUAGAUCAGAAUGCUACGGUGAAUACGUUCCCGGGCCUUGUACACACCGCCCGUCACACCAUGGGAGUGGGUUGCAAAAGAAGUAGGUAGCUUAACCUUCGGGAGGGCGCUUACCACUUUGUGAUUCAUGACUGGGGUGAAGUCGUAACAAGGUAACCGUAGGGGAACCUGCGGUUGGAUCACCUCC